AUCAGAGUUCAAAGCUCGAUGUGAUCAGUUAAAGAAUAUGUUUUAAGUGCAGGUCAUAAAGACGGAUCUGUUCAGAAUUCUAAGGGAAAAGUUGGGUGCCGACCUACCCUCCCUUAUAGAAGACAGAGUUUUCCCAGUUGCUGGUGAUAUAGCUUGUGAUAAUUUGAGGAUAAAUUCUGAGCUGAAAGAUGAGAUGCGCAGAGAAAUCGACUUAUUUGUAAACUCAGCUGCUACAACUAGUUUUGAUGAAAGAUAUGAUACUGCAAUAAGGAUCAAUACACUGGGUGCCUUGAAUA
Nicotiana tabacum (common tobacco) is the source of this 296-nucleotide non-coding RNA. Lineage: Eukaryota; Viridiplantae; Streptophyta; Magnoliopsida; Solanales; Solanaceae. The record is from RefSeq and is a predicted model, not a curated record.